This 324-nucleotide unclassified non-coding RNA is filed under the name Hevea brasiliensis (rubber tree). Lineage: Eukaryota; Viridiplantae; Streptophyta; Magnoliopsida; Malpighiales; Euphorbiaceae. The record is from RNAcentral.
AAGUUAGAGUAGUCUUUUCCUUUAUCUUUUUAUUUGUGAUGUUGGGUAUACUGGAGUUUAGGGUAUUGAAACAUUCUCUUUUGAAUUUGUACAUUCAUUGAUUUAUUAAUGAAUUUAAGUUCUCCAUUGACUGGCGACAUAGGCACUGAUGAAAGUGCUGAAUCACAUUCUAGUUUUUUCCUCUCUUUUUUCCUAUAUCGCCAAAACCGAUUCUGGUUCUGUCAACCUUUAUGUAUUUGUAUGUAUAGUUUGUUUUAUAGUUAUCCACAUGAAAAUAUGAUCUUCUUGUAUGAAUUUCAGGUCCCAAAUGGCAUAGGAAGUAUU